CCGUGCUAGAUGGGGAGAUAGCGGUGCCCUGUACCCGCAAUCCGCUACAGCGGGAUUGAACUCCCGCCCCAGGCCUGUCUUCUUUGGGGCCUGCCCAGCGCAAGCGGCGUUGAUGGCCGGGUCCCGCGCAACGAGGCUUUGUGAACCCCGUCAGGACCGGAAGGUAGCAGCGGUUAGCAAAUCACCUCGUGUGCCGCGGGGUCGCCUGGUCGGAGUCGGCUACGCUGGUAACGCCUGGAGAAGCAUGUCGAAGGCGGGUGCACGG
RNAcentral lists this signal recognition particle RNA (265 nucleotides) under Bacillota bacterium. RNAcentral describes it as "signal recognition particle sRNA large type". It matches the Rfam family "Bacterial large signal recognition particle RNA". Rfam says of the family: The signal recognition particle (SRP) is a universally conserved ribonucleoprotein involved in the co-translational targeting of proteins to membranes. Archaeal SRP consists of a 7S RNA and homologues of the eukaryotic SRP19 and SRP54 proteins. The record is from RNAcentral. Lineage: Bacteria; Bacillati; Bacillota.